UCCCGAGUCUAAAAAGAAGACCCACCACCUGGUGCCUCUCAUUUGGUUAUGUGGUGACUGAGUGUUUUCCAGUUUCAUACGUACAAGUCUAUUUUACUCACCGCAGUAAACGGCACUUGGAGAGAGGUAUGGUCAGCUACCUCUGUGUCCACCAAAGGGCAUACUAAAGCUUGGACCCGCAGGAGGGAAGCAGGGAGCGUGUGUGGGCAAACAGGCCAAACGGAGCGGCAGCACACUGUUCCUCCAUUAGCUUCACGCAGCAAACUGAGAAGCCCAGAGAGAAAGGAAAACACAUUCUGGACGGCCUUUGUUUAUUGUUCCUCGCAGAGCAGCUCGGAGCUUACCCAGAGGAGCCUGCUGGGAGUGAGAUCGUCAGCAGACCUUAAGCUUCAGCGAGGUGGAAGGCAAUCCCCAUGGCGACCACUCAGUCGGCGUCACCCCGGGCUGCGCAGGUGCAGCACCUGUAGUAGGCGUGGCCACAUGAGCCCGUGAGUAAGGACCCUUUAUCCAGUGCCAGCCACCGGAUAGGAGCCAGGCCAUGCUCACUGGGCCAGUCACCGGUGUCUCUCAGAAGUUGCCCCACCUGGUACCUCUCGUGCCGACUACCUGGUACCACUGUCUGAACUCCGAGGGGACAGUUCCCCGGCAUUGGCUACCCAGGACGGUGAUGAAUUCCAAAGAUGAAUUUCACUAUAUUGAACAUGGCCCAUUGCAUUUAAAAUUAAAGAGCUGAGAAGAAACCACCACUCGCUGAUGGUAAG
This is a long non-coding RNA of Herpailurus yagouaroundi (jaguarundi), 761 nucleotides long. RefSeq lists it as uncharacterized. The record is from RefSeq and is a predicted model, not a curated record. The transcript has 5 exons. NCBI's taxonomy places the organism in Eukaryota, Metazoa, Chordata, Mammalia, Carnivora, Felidae.